Molecule: ribosomal RNA, 389 nt
Filed under: Streptococcus agalactiae
Lineage: Bacteria; Bacillati; Bacillota; Bacilli; Lactobacillales; Streptococcaceae
Description: bacterial LSU rRNA
Rfam family: Bacterial large subunit ribosomal RNA
Source: RNAcentral
GUGAAGAAGGUGUACCGUGAGGAGCGCUGGAACGCAUAGAAGUGAGAAUGCCGGUAUGAGUAGCGCAAGACAGGUGAGAAUCCUGUCCACCGUAAGACUAAGGUUUCCAGGGGAAGGCUCGUCCGCCCUGGGUUAGUCGGGACCUAAGGAGAGACCGAAAGGUGUAUCCGAUGGACAACAGGUUGAUAUUCCUAUACUAGAGUAUAUAGUGAUGGAGGGACGCAGUAGGCUAACUAAACCAGACGAUUGGAAGUGUCUGGUCAAACAGUGAGGUGUGAUAUGAGUCAAAUGCUUAUAUCUUUAACAUUGAGCUGUGACGAGGAGCGAAGUUUAGUAGCGAAGUUAGUGAUGUCACACUGCCAAGAAAAGCUUCUAGCGAUACAUAUACU